This 906-nucleotide ribosomal RNA is filed under the name uncultured bacterium. RNAcentral describes it as "bacterial SSU rRNA". It matches the Rfam family "Bacterial small subunit ribosomal RNA", at positions 1 to 954 of the family's 1533-position model. The record is from RNAcentral.
GCUUAGAGUUUGAUCCUGGCUCAGGAUGAACGCUGGCGGCGUGCCUAACACAUGCAAGUCGAACGGACUCUUCGGAGUCAGUGGCGGACGGGUGAGUAACGCGUGAGAACCUGCCUCUAGGAGGGGGAUAACAGCGGGAAACGGCUGCUAAUACCCCAUGAGCCGUAAGGUAAAAAGGAAUCCGCCUAGAGAGGGGCUCGCGUCCGAUUAGCUAGUUGGGGAGGUAAAAGCUCACCAAGGCGACGAUCGGUAGCUGGUCUGAGAGGAUGAGCAGCCACACUGGGACUGAGACACGGCCCAGACUCCUACGGGAGGCAGCAGUGGGGAAUUUUCCGCAAUGGGCGAAAGCCUGACGGAGCAACGCCGCGUGAGGGAAGAAGGCCUUUGGGUUGUAAACCUCUUUUCUCAGGGAAGAAGUUCUGACGGUACCUGAGGAAUCAGCCUCGGCUAACUCCGUGCCAGCAGCCGCGGUAAUACGGAGGAGGCAAGCGUUAUCCGGAAUUAUUGGGCGUAAAGCGUUCGUAGGCGGCCGUUCAAGUCUGCUGUCAAAGUCCGAGGCUCAACUUCGGGAAGGCAGUGGAAACUGAACAGCUAGAGGUCGGAAGGGGCAGAGGGAAUUCCCAGUGUAGCGGUGAAAUGCGUAGAUAUUGGGAAGAACACCGGUGGCGAAAGCGCUCUGCUGGGCCGAACCUGACGCUGAGGGACGAAAGCUAGGGGAGCGAAUGGGAUUAGAUACCCCAGUAGUCCUAGCCGUAAACGAUGGAGACUAGGUGUUGCCUGUAUCGACCCGGGCAGUGCCGAAGCCAACGCGUUAAGUCUCCCGCCUGGGGAGUACGCACGCAAGUGUGAAACUCAAAGGAAUUGACGGGGGCCCGCACAAGCGGUGGAGUAUGUGGUUUAAUUCGA